This 438-nucleotide ribosomal RNA is filed under the name uncultured prokaryote. RNAcentral's name for it is "partial 16S ribosomal RNA". The record is from RNAcentral.
CCCUACGGGGUGCAGCAGGCGCAAACUGGAGCCGGAUCACAACGAUUGUCAAUUCGUCAAGCGGCGUAUCCGCCAUUGUUGAGCGCACGCGAGACAUCGGUGUGCUAACCGGCACAAUCUCUUCGGGAGACGAGGAUGAAGCACUGCUGACGAUGAGCUACCUGCCGCUUGAUGCCGACCUUGUUACAGGCGAUACAGUGAUUACGUCCGGCUUGUCCGGCGUCUUUCCCAAAGGCAUUCCCAUCGGAGAGGUCAUCGAAGUCAGUGAAAACGAAGACGGAAUGAAGAAUGAAGCGAUCGUCAAGCCGUGGGUGGAUUUUUAUCAUCUCGAAGAAGUGAUGGUGAUAACGAGUGAAACUUUGGACAUUGAAGAGGCUCUGGAAUGAGAUAUAUCAUUUUAUCUGUUGUUACAAUCAUCGAUCUUAUUUUUACGGGGGC